UACGGGAGGCAGCAGUGGGGAAUAUUGCACAAUGGGCGCAAGCCUGAUGCAGCCAUGCCGCGUGUAUGAAGAAGGCCUUCGGGUUGUAAAGUACUUUCAGUCGUGAGGAAGGUGUUAAGGCUAAUAACCUUAGCAAUUGACGUUAGCGACAGAAGAAGCACCGGCUAACUCCGUGCCAGCAGCCGCGGUAAUACGGAGGGUGCGAGCGUUAAUCGGAAUUACUGGGCGUAAAGGGCACGCAGGCGGUUAAUUAAGUUGGAUGUGAAAUCCCCGGGCUUAACCUGGGAAUGGCAUUCAAGACUGGUUAGCUAGAGUCUUGUAGAGGGGGUAGAAUUCCAUGUGUAGCGGUGAAAUGCGUAGAGAUGUGGAGGAAUACCGGUGGCGAAGGCGGCCCCUGGACAAAGGCUGACGCUCAUGUGCGAAAGCGUGGGGAGCAAACAGGGAUUAGAUA
Molecule: ribosomal RNA, 451 nt
Filed under: uncultured bacterium
Lineage: Bacteria
Description: bacterial SSU rRNA
Rfam family: Bacterial small subunit ribosomal RNA
Source: RNAcentral